Molecule: ribosomal RNA, 778 nt
Filed under: uncultured Neocallimastigales
Lineage: Eukaryota; Fungi; Neocallimastigomycota; Neocallimastigomycetes; Neocallimastigales
Description: partial large subunit ribosomal RNA
Rfam family: Eukaryotic large subunit ribosomal RNA
Source: RNAcentral
CAUAGCGACUAUCGUGGCAUAUCAAUAAGCGGAGGAAAAGAAACUAACAAGGAUUCCCUUAGUAACGGCGAGUGAAGCGGGAAGAGCUCAAAUUUGAAAUCUUCAGGGUUCUACCUUGACGAAUUGUAGUUUAUAGAAGUGUUUUCUGUUAGUGGAGUGGCAAAAGUUCUUUGGAAUAGGACAUCAUAGAGGGUGAGAAUCCCGUAUUUGGUCAUUCCUCCUAGCGUUGUGAUACACUUCCAACGAGUCGGAUUGUUUGGGAAUGCAGUCCAAAAUGGGUGGUAAAUUUCAUCUAAAGCUAAAUAUUGGCGAGAGACCGAUAGCGAACAAGUACCGUGAGGGAAAGAUGAAAAGAACUUUGAAAAGAGAGUUAAACAGUACGUGAAAUUGUCAAAAGGGAAGCGUUUGACACCAGUGUUGUUUUUCCGAAAAUCAAUUACGAAUGUUUUGUUUUUGAGGAGUUAUGACUUCAUCGGCUUGCUCCUUUCUUUAUCGAAACUUUCUUAAUGCACUUUUCGGUUAACAAGUCAACAUCAAUUUCUUUUGUUGUAAAAGGGUAUGAGGAAGGUGGCUUUCUUUUCGGAGAAAGUGUUUAUAGCCUUGUGCCUCUACAAUCGGAGAGAUUGAGGUCUGCAGCGUAGAUCCUUCGGGGUUAGAUACAGUUUGUGCUAAGUUAUAGCUUUUCAUAGACAACUUGUUGACUAUAAUUUAAGUCUUGUAACUUACUCGCUUAUGCUAUUUUACCUACGCUUAGGAUGUUGAUAUGCAUGACUGAUAU